UACGGGGGGGGCAAGCGUUGUUCGGAAUUACUGGGCGUAAAGGGCUCGUAGGCGGCCAACUAAGUCAGACGUGAAAUCCCUCGGCUUAACCGGGGAACUGCGUCUGAUACUGGAUGGCUUGAGUUUGGGAGAGGGAUGCGGAAUUCCAGGUGUAGCGGUGAAAUGCGCAGAUAUCAGGAAGAACACCCGUGGCGAAGGCGGCUCUCUGGGACGGUACUGACGCUGAGACGCGAAAGCGUGGGGAGCGAACAGG
Molecule: ribosomal RNA, 253 nt
Filed under: uncultured bacterium
Lineage: Bacteria
Description: partial 16S ribosomal RNA
Rfam family: Bacterial small subunit ribosomal RNA
Source: RNAcentral